This 68-nucleotide transfer RNA is filed under the name Marmota monax (woodchuck). RNAcentral describes it as "tRNA.Thr". The record is from RNAcentral. Lineage: Eukaryota; Metazoa; Chordata; Mammalia; Rodentia; Sciuridae.
UGGGAUGUAGCUCAGUGGUAGAGGGCAUGCUUAGUAUGUAUGAGGUACUGGUUCAAUAUCUGUCACAA